CUGUUAUUUUUUGACCCUAGAAAUAUUAGAAAUCUUGAAUUGAGGUUGUGUUGGGGAAUACACUGUUGUGACCUUACAUACUAUCUGCUUUCCCAGAAUCUACUAAGUUAGCCUUUAGUCAUAGGAUAACAUAAACUCUUGGUAACAUGCUAUGAAGUAAAGAAUAAUUAAUAAAAAUCAAACUGGUAAAGACUAUAAAUAAACAUGCCGUGACACAUAAAACUGAGAGCUGCAUGGAUAAUUAAUAGAAAGUAAAUAUACCCUGCGUUGUUUCAAAGAUUAAAUUUUGCUUAAGGGUCAUUUCACUCAUUAAAACAGGGAGAACGUAACUCUAGAUUUUUCUAGUAAAAGUGAAAUUGAACAACCACCUAUUGAGCCUCCUUGUGCCAAAUACUUUCUUAGGUUCUGAGCCUGCAAAAAACGGUUAGUAGUUCUUCAGUGAGAAUGGAGGGACUGUUAACAGGUGUUCCAGCUACAUCUGAAGUUCAGCUCCUUGAGGGCAGAAACCGUGUCUCCCCAGCAUUAGCUCACCGGCCCUGAGUGGAUGCUCAGGAUUUGAAUGGUUGAAAGAAUGCCUGAGGGAAAUAGCAUGAGGUGCUUCAGAAAAGUACAGGAGGUGUAACGGACGCUUGGGGCUUAAACUGGUGAGAGUGAGAAAGGGGUUAAAGAAAGCAUCUGGGCAGAGUCAUAACUAGAUGAAGUCUUAAAGAAUGAGCGUGAGUCAGGAGGAGGAAUGAGAGUGGGAAGAGUGUUUUGGCAAAAGAACCAGCCUGAGGAAAAGGGUCAGCCAUGUAGCCACAGUUGCUGGUAUGCUGAGACUGGGGAAUAUGAGACCAGCCAGGGAGGGUGGAGACCACUUAAUGUGCACUUUGGGUAAAAUGACGCGGGUCAAACCAAACUCAUUUACAUGCCCGGUUUCUUCAUUAGGAUAAUGAAGGGCUUCCAUUAGUUGAUCUCUAAGGGUCUCUUCUAACACUUAAAUUCCUUUUUCCUCUAUUAUUAAGUUGGAAAUGAAGGUAAUUAGAUAAUCCUGGAUUUUUAACCAAAAUUUGGGCUCAGUCCUGUACUAAUUUUAUAAUAACGCUUUUCCCCUUCUCGUUUAACUUUGCUUAUUUGAAUGAUGUCUUGGGUAUUUACACUGUCUAUGCAGUCAGCGUGUAUUGCUGUCUGAUUUCGUGCCUUUGAUAGCUCUAAAGUAAAGUUUGCUUUAUUUCAAACAAGCUACCAAAGUUAAGAUACUGUAUCAGUAAGAUAUGUGUUUUUCAGCUUUGCUUCGAAGAAAUAGAAUCUGUACAAUAAGCAGAACUGAUUUUUAUUUUUCAGAUGAUUAUAGAUUGGUAGCCCGAUUAAUAGAAAUGUUAGAUACUGUUUAAGAAUGCCAUGGCACUUUAUUAUUUGUUGUUCAGGUUUAAAACAGAACCUUUAUUAAUAACUAGAUUUUUUGAAAGAAGAAUUUAUUAAUAUCAUAUGUGCAGAAUUUAAUACUUCUAUUUAUAUUGAUAUAAAAUUAGAAUAAAUUUAAUACAAUUUAAAUAAAGCAGAGACUUCCAAGAAACAUGUAAACAUGUUGUUGUAUAUUUUCUCUGUUUUUUAAUAAUCCAGUAACACAUACCCAGAAUUUAAGGAGAAAAACCUGUUUUGGCUAUUUCCUCAUUUUUUUCCUUUUGAGUUUUUAUGGAAGGCUAGGUUCCCAAACUGAGGUAUCAGAUGGCAUAGUGCAAGAAUGUGAGGGAAAUGGGCGUGGAGGCCAAGAAACCCUGCCCCAGCCCUCUCCCCAACCCCUGCCUUCUCCUUUCUCUUGCAACUCACUCUCUCAUCCAUUACUGUGGAGGGAAAUUUGUAUAAUGGCAAUGACCCUAAAGAUCUCCAGGAUUUCUGAAGACAUAUUUCCAAACAAAACAGGCCUUUAUUUAGAGAUUAUAGUACCUUAAUAAUUUUAAAAGUUGAGGGAAAAAAAUGUAUAUGGUUUUGUGUCUGCUUUCCCUUACCUGAAGUAAUGGCUUUGUGAUUCUAAUACAUCAUUUCAUCAGAGUCUGAAAGUGGUAAAAAUGUUUGUAGACCCUUCAGUGAUUUUAUUUUAUUAUUGUACCUGAUUGUUAUCCAGCUGUCCCACAGGCCUUGGCUGUUGCAUAAAAGAGGGGCUAGGCAAGGGAGCAGGUUUCACUUAAAACCAUCACAAUAUCAGAAUCUAGAGACAUCGCUCCAUGAUGGGCCCAGGCAGAAUUGGGAAGUAAGCAUUUUUAUUUGUGGCUCUUGCUCAGUUUGCUUUGUCUUCCUUUGGCCCGUCCAUUUUCCUUUGCUAUCCUGCUUAGGAUUGUUUGAUUUCUACUAGGGAACUGUCUGCCUAACACUUAACACUUAAGCCUGUUUUGCAAGCAAAAUACAGAGAAUUUAUUCUGUAGAAUAUGUAAAACUGAAAGGAACCAGGGGUUUCACUAAUUACAACCUCUCACUUUUCAGUGAGGAUGUUGAGUCUCAGAGUGGUAACUUCUCAAGGUCACAGAGAGUCAGUGGAAGAAGAGCCCAGGCUAUUCAGAACUGCCAAGUCUUUAGCUAGUGUUCUUUGACCUGUUCAGUUUUGUGUGAGAAAAAUAAAUUAAAUUUUUGACUGAAAAAUAGAGACCUCUAGAUUCUUGGUCAUUCAGUUCAUUCAUCCAUUUAUUCUUUCCUUUAAUUUCCUUCUUAGCAUGUAUCUUCUGAGUAUAUUCUCUGUAGGGCACUGUGAAGUAUCACAACUAAACAAGAUGGAGUUUCUUUGCUUGAGGGGCUUACAAGGGAGCCCAAGACCAUUGGGAACCAUGUCUUGUUCAGCUCUAUGCCUAUGGAGAGAACACAGGCCUUGCUUCCUAAAGGACAGAGAAUCACUGGAUGAUGUGGGUAUACUGGCAUAUGGGUAGGGUGUGGUGCAAAGAGAGGGUGUAAAAGGGGGCUAACAGUUCAGCUUGAAGGUACUGAGAAAUUGGUAAGAGAAGUAGUGGUAACUUCUAUAUGUAUGUUUGCAAGAUUUUUUUUUGCAGGAUGGGAUUGGCUUAAUGAAUGAAUUGUCAGAGGGAGUUCCUGUUGUGGCUCAGCAGUAAUUAACCCAAUUGGCAUCCAUGAGGCCACAGGUUAGAUCUGUGGCCUCGCUCAGUGGGUUAAGGACCUGGCGUUGGUCAGAGCUGAGGUGUAGGUCACAGACGUGGCUUGGAUCCUGUGUUGCUGUGGCUGUGGUGUGGGCUGGCAGCUGUAGCUUCGACUUGACCCCUAGCCUGGCAACUUCCAUAUGCUUUGGGUGUGGCCCUAAAAAGACAAAAAAUAAAAUUAGAAAAAAAAAAGGAAUUGUCAAAAAGGUAUCAAUUGUUACAGUCAAACCAAUGAAAAUAAAUUAAUGAAAGUAUCUCACCUUGGGAGGGUGUCCUCAACUCUUUAUAGAUUGAAAAUUAAUUUUGAAAGAAUCCAACUGAAACAUAAACUUAAUUCUUUCAGAACUUUAGAAGAGUUUAUUAUACCCCCCUAGUUUACCCCUCCAAACAAGUGACCCAUACAGAGUAGCUUACGCCUUGAGUGUAGCUGGCUUAAUAGUAAUCAGAAACAUAUGCUGGAAUCCUAGUGUUUCAGCCAAAGUCCUGGUCUUUAGACUUCACAUUUAACAUAGCUCUUACCCUCCGUUAACUAGGCUUGCAGUUGGAUGACAUAGCUGGAUGUUGUGGAUGACAGAUUUUCCUACUGUUGUGCACCAGAGGGAUACAGGGCAGGUGGGGGAAAAGACUAACUCAACACUAAUGAAACCCUGACCCCCAUAUGCAUUUUGGUAAUUCCAUGAAGGCAAGAAUGUUACUAAUAACAGAGCAGAUUUUGUAGGUCGUCUUGAACUUGGUCAGCUGCAGUUAAACCCAUGGCUGCUGGUGCUAUGGAAUGUACCCCUAUUUGUUUUGGGAAAGUGGUGAAAGAGAUUCAGUUACAGGUUUUCCAUCUUCCUGGAAUAAUGCUACCCCUAGAAUAGAAUUCUCCACAUACCCAAGGAUGAUUGGACCUCAAAUUUAGCAACUAUUCAAUUAAAUGUACCAUUUACUGCAUUAACAUCUAUUUUGGGAAACUGUUUUACAUUUCACAUCCAGGAUAUCUUUUUUCUGGUCUUAGGGUGACUAUAUUUAAAACCAAAUUAUAAAUUGUAUUGUCAAAAUUAUUUGAUGAACUAUUGAAGCAGGGUAACUUUUCACAAAUAGCAGGUAUGGCAAAUAGUAUCUUUUAGAAUUCCUUGCUCAAAGAUAUACAGAUGAAAGCCCAGAAUGAUGGAUUUUAUGUUUUCUUGAUACUUCUACCUUGGAGACCUGAGCUGUAUUUUUACACACUGAAAUAAGAAGAGUUACUUUUGUCAUAUAGUUCUUAGCUUUUUCAAGUCACAGAAGUCUUUGAGAAUCUAAUAAAAGCCCUGACCUCUAUGAAAAGUCCACAUAUGCAUGCUGUACAGAUUUGCAUGCAUUUUCAGGUGAUUCAUAGACCACAGGUUAAGAUGUUGGUCAAAUUAUUUAAAAUUUUCUCUCUCUUUUUUUUUUUUUUCCAUCCAAGUUAUCUUUACAUUUAUAGUUAUCAGGCCAUUUUAUAUACCUGGAGAGCAAGAUUAUAGUAUUAGUAGUGUUUCCUUGGGACUUUUGAACUAACAUGGGACAAGUUCAAUAUAAAGACAACUAGAAUCCCUGCUGCACCGAGACUGUUCCUCCAUGUCACCUCCUGCACUCAGGACACUUCUGCGUGGCACUGCUAUGAUGGAAAGUGUCUGUAGCUAGGCAUUUCUGUCUGAUGCAAGGGAGCUGGCAGGGCAGAAACUGGAUGUGCCUUGGGUUUAUGAGAUAAUACCUGUGUGAAGGGGAUGUUUCUAUUCUUAGCAGUGAAAAAUGUGGGCAGCCAGAAUUUAAUGAGAUCUGGGCACAAGAAGGUACUAAGUUUUAGUCAUUUCUCGAGGAAAAUAUAGAAGAAACGUAAGCCUUUUAGUAUUUCACACACGAAGGGUGGGAGUUGGAUAAAAUUGUUUUCUAAUAGGAAGAUAGGGGGAAUUAAUCCUUUCUUUGACCCUCAUGGCCAUAGUCCAAGGCCAGUUUUCCUAAAUAUGAGUUUGUAGGUGUUUGUUGGAUCCCUUUGCAGGUGUGUGAUCUGCACAUAAGACCACGAAGACAGCGAAAAAAUGUUUGCUUAUGUAGAUAGAGCAUUUCUGAGAUUGGAGUUGAAGCUUGUAGUACUGCUCUGACCAAUGUAAUCAUAACAAGAGGCAAAAAAUGUUUGAGUUGAAAGUUACUUAGAGCAAACAACUUUUCUGGUUUGUUUGCACAUUAUCUACUCAGUAGCCAUGCUGCACUGAAAAUAGAUCCAGAAAAGGUGAGCUGAAGUCGUGAGUAGCAAAUUAGUAGCAUUUCUUCAUAGGAAAGUUAGCAAAGUAAAAGCCAAACAAGUCCUGCCCUUUCCUACAGACAUUUCCUGGCAGCACUGUCUGGCAAAUUUCUGGACUGGAUAGUUAUUUCUUCUCACCCAGAGUUUUAUGUCCUGCCUGCUUAUCAAGCACUUUGUGGCAUAUUCGAGGUCCCAAGUGUCCUUAGAAAACAUCUAGCCUUAUUUUUCCAGUGAGGAAACAGGCAUUAGGCAACUCAAGCCUCCAGUAUUUGAACAUUUCUGUACCAUUUUUUAUGGGAAGGACUCAUAUCUUCUCAUGUUGUCUUGUCAUCCCUGUCCAUUUAAAGGGUAGAGUCAAGACAGAACAGUCCUCUGUCCACAGACUGUCAAGUGGCGUGUUUAUAACCAAACAUGAGUGUUUGUGGGGUGUUUGGCACCCAUUGAUUUAGGACUGCACUCCUCCUCCUCAGGCCUGAGGACAGAAGGCACAUUUAGAGUAGUGUGGUCACUCUGUCCUUCUAAAAGGAGUUUUUCAGCACUGGACGAUGUAAUUAUUUUGCAUUGACAGGUCUUCUCAUAAAGUGAAGUGUAACUAUCUUCAAGCAUAUACCCUAAGUGCACACUGAAAGUUCAGUGCGGACCUUAGGAAGGAAAAAGUGGUAUCCUCAAAAUGUCAUUUCUUUAAAAAAAUUAAAAAAUUUCCCAGAUCUAUUAUGACAGACAACACUAUGUAAGUUUAGGGUGUCAGCAUAAUUAUUUGACUUACAUAUAUUGUGAAAUGAUUACCACUAUAAGUUUAGUUAACAUCCAUCAUCUCAUAUAG
Molecule: long non-coding RNA, 6187 nt
Filed under: Sus scrofa (pig)
Lineage: Eukaryota; Metazoa; Chordata; Mammalia; Artiodactyla; Suidae
Description: lncRNA (ENSSSCG00025031567.1)
Source: RNAcentral